GCUGGCGGCAGGCCUAACACAUGCAAGUCCAGCGCACCUUCGGGUGAGCGGCGGACGGGUGAGUAACGCGUGGGAACGUGCCCUUCCCCGCGGAAUAGCCACUGGAAACGGUGAGUAAUACCGCAAACGCCCUUCGGGGGAAAGAUUUAUCGGAGAAGGAUCGGCCCGCGUUAGAUUAGGUAGUUGGUGGGGUAAUGGCCUACCAAGCCUACGAUCUAUAGCUGGUUUGAGAGGAUGAUCAGCCACACUGGGACUGAGACCCGGCCCAGACUCCUACGGGAGGCAGCAGUGGGGAAUCUUAGACAAUGGGCGCAAGCCUGAUCUAGCCAUGCCGCGUGAGUGAUGAAGGCCUUAGGGUCGUAAAGCUCUUUCGCUGGGGAAGAUAAUGACUGUACCCAGUAAAGAAACCCCGGCUAACUCCGUGCCAGCAGCCGCGGUAAUAC
RNAcentral lists this ribosomal RNA (443 nucleotides) under uncultured marine bacterium. RNAcentral describes it as "bacterial SSU rRNA". It matches the Rfam family "Bacterial small subunit ribosomal RNA", at positions 35 to 526 of the family's 1533-position model. The record is from RNAcentral.